AACGAACGCUGGCGGCAUGCCUAACACAUGCAAGUCGAACGAGACCUUCGGGUUUAGUGGCGAACGGGUGCGUAACGCGUGGGAACCUGCCCUUAGGUUCGGAAUAACUCCCCGAAAGGGGUGCUAAUACCGGAUAAUGUCUUCGGACCAAAGAUUUAUCGCCUUUGGAUGGGCCCGCGUUGUAUUAGCUAGUUGGUAGGGUAAAAGCCUACCAAGGCGACGAUCCAUAGCUGGUCUGAGAGGAUGAUCAGCCACACUGAGACUGAGACACGGCCCAGACUCCUACGGGAGGCAGCAGUGGGGAAUAUUGGACAAUGGGCGAAAGGCUGAACCAGCAAUGCCGCGUGAGUGAUGAAGGCCUUAGGGUUGUAAAGCUCUUUUACCCGGGAUGAUAAUGACAGUACCGGGAGAAUAAGCUCCGGCUAACUCCGUG
This 433-nucleotide ribosomal RNA is filed under the name uncultured bacterium. RNAcentral's name for it is "partial 16S ribosomal RNA". It matches the Rfam family "Bacterial small subunit ribosomal RNA", at positions 29 to 507 of the family's 1533-position model. The record is from RNAcentral.